This 253-nucleotide ribosomal RNA is filed under the name uncultured bacterium. RNAcentral describes it as "partial 16S ribosomal RNA". It matches the Rfam family "Bacterial small subunit ribosomal RNA", at positions 524 to 776 of the family's 1533-position model. The record is from RNAcentral.
UACAGGGGGGGCAAGCGUUGUUCGGAAUUACUGGGCGUAAAGGGCCAGUAGGCGGCCAACUAAGUCCGACGUGAAAUCCCUAGGCUUAACCUAGGAACUGCGUCGGAUACUGGAUGGCUUGAAUUCGGGAGAGGGAUGCAGAAUUCCAGGUGUAGCGGUGAAAUGCGUAGAUAUCUGGAGGAAUACCGGUGGCGAAGGCGGCAUCCUGGACCGAGAUUGACACUGAUGAGCGAAAGCUAGGGGAGCAAACGGG